GGAUUAGAUACCCUGGUAGUCCACGCCGUAAACGAUGAGUGCUAAGUGUUAGGGGGUUUCCGCCCCUUAGUGCUGCAGUUAACGCAUUAAGCACUCCGCCUGGGGAGUACGACCGCAAGGUUGAAACUCAAAGGAAUUGACGGGGGCCCGCACAAGCGGUGGAGCAUGUGGUUUAAUUCGAAGCAACGCGAAGAACCUUACCAGGUCUUGACAUCCUUUGACCAUUCUGGAGACAGAACUUUCCCUUCGGGGACAAAGUGACAGGUGGUGCAUGGUUGUCGUCAGCUCGUGCCG
RNAcentral lists this ribosomal RNA (294 nucleotides) under uncultured bacterium. RNAcentral's name for it is "partial 16S ribosomal RNA". It matches the Rfam family "Bacterial small subunit ribosomal RNA", at positions 775 to 1067 of the family's 1533-position model. The record is from RNAcentral.